RNAcentral lists this ribosomal RNA (253 nucleotides) under uncultured bacterium. RNAcentral's name for it is "partial 16S ribosomal RNA". It matches the Rfam family "Bacterial small subunit ribosomal RNA", at positions 524 to 776 of the family's 1533-position model. The record is from RNAcentral.
UACGGAGGGUGCUAGCGUUGUUCGGAAUCACUGGGCGUAAAGGGCGUGUAGGCGGUCUGUUAAGUCUGAUGUGAAAUCCCCUCGCUCAACGAGGGAACUGCGUCGGAUACUGGCAGACUUGAGUACCGGAGAGGAAGGUGGAAUUCCCGGUGCAGCGGUGAAAUGCGUAGAUAUCGGGAGGAACACCGGUGGCGAAGGCGGCCUUCUGGACGGAUACUGACGCUGAGACGCGAAAGCGUGGGGAGCAAACAGG